Molecule: long non-coding RNA, 2256 nt
Organism: Mus musculus (house mouse)
Lineage: Eukaryota; Metazoa; Chordata; Mammalia; Rodentia; Muridae
Product: predicted gene, 53949
Exons: 3
Source: RefSeq, a predicted model, not a curated record
CCACAAUGGGCUGGGCCCUCCGCCAUCAAUCACUAAUCAUGCAAAUGUCCUGCAGGCUUGUCUACAGCCCAACUGUAUGGAGGCAUUUUCUUAAUUGAGGUUCCCUCCUCUCCAUUGACUCCUACUUUGAAGCGACAGGAAAUUGUCCAGCACGCCCUUUCUUCCUUAAGUGGCUCCCUGUCAUGUACUUGGGCACAACAGUGAGAAAAGCAGACAGUGAAUCUCUCCUCCUUUCUUUGUACUCUUCCUUUUCCAGUGUCCAGCUGACGGUCUCUAAGGGGUUCUGGGGAAGGGAUUGCAAGGAUACCCUAGGUACCCCUCACUUACCGUGAUGGGAGACUUCAGGCUGCUGGUGUUGUAUUGAGCCGCAAAGGCAAUGAAGUUAGUGGCCUUGGCAGUGCCAGUCUGGGCAGUGCGGCCUUCCAGCAGGAAGGAAGAAUUUCUGUCCUGGGCCUGGACCAGCAGAAAGUCUCCCAGCCCGUUGAAGGUGAAGUUGGCAUUAUCCAAAGUGGUGAUGUGGGGAUCACCAAAUGUCCAAGCUAAAAGAAAGGAGGUUACAUGCUAGCCAAUUAGGGCCAUGGACUCUUACUCCCAGCAGGUAAGGACUUCCAUCUUAGUUGGCUAGAGCUUGGGCAAAUUCUCCAGGCAUCCAGAAUCUACCCCCAAAGUCCUCUUCCCUUGUAGUCCCUGGCCUCAGUCCUCAUCCCUUUGCAAAAGCCAUGUCCAAAGUCCCUGUUUGCUGUUAGCUUCACGCAAGACCUGUCAACAUCAUCCCUGUGGCUGCAGUUCUGUUUAGGAAGUUGGCCCCUUGCUAAUCCACCCCAACCAUGAUGCUCACCGGGCCGUGGGGGCCUGUACCCAGCACAGCUGACACGGGGCCGCCUAAGCUGGUACCAGACACAGAACGAGGGCUUGUCGUUCCAUUGGCAGCACCAGUUCUGUGCCUCCUGCUCCUCAUCUGUGAAGAAGGACAGUUUGUCAGAGGGCGGGGGCCCCGGGGAAGCAACUGGCAUGUUUGGAAGAGUAUGGUGAUAUCAGCAGCAAGAGGAGUCAGGCGUGGCACAGUACAUAUCCUUCUGCGCCCAAAUGGCUGCCAGUGACCAAUGAUCAAAUGACAUUGUAUGUCCUCGUUGAACGAAUGGUGGGGUUAUUACAUAGCACAUAGUACAAGCCCUCAGAGAGCCAGCAGAAGGGAGAACAGAGAUGAUGGCAUGAAGAUACGAGAGACUAGAGCAGUCCCCAGGGUGGGCAGAUGCAAGCCACCCUUUUCUAUUUACCUCUGUGUACCCUGGCUCCCUUGGAAGGUCUUUAUGGUGAGGUGAUUCUAAGUCUUUCCCCCAAAACAUCCUGUUAUCAUGGGACCAGAGGAUAACAUCAAAGUAGGCCCUCUUCCUUGGCCUAGAAAGAUUCUCCACUUUGGGCUGAGGGCACAAGGCCAAAUGAAGAUAGAAGACACAUUCUGUCCUAAUCUGAGAGACUACAAGGAAGAUGGCAGGUUCUGAACUUUUCAAGAUCAGGGGACUGGGACCAGAGAGAAAGCAUCUGGGAAGCAUUGGGAUCAAGAGGCUUCAUCCGGAAGGUCCCAUAGCCUGUCUGAGAAGAGCCGCGGGCGGGGUUAAGGUCUCCAGGAAGAUACUUACCAAACUGCCAAGGACUGUGCAUUCUCCAGCCUUCUCGAAACUCUCCCCAGGCACCAUAGCUGCAGCACACACCCCCUCGCCCGGAGGAGAAGCUGCACAGCUGCCUGUCCCACCAACCUGCAAAGAGACCAGACAUCCUCAGGUCCAGGAGCUUGUGACAGUGGCCAAAACAACCAGGACAGAGGUCCAUGCCCAGAAACUAGCUGGAAGCCACAGAGAAGCUGGCAUGCUCUCGGAGCCUUACUCUAUCACUGGUGGCACCCACCUGUCAUCUGACCCAACUUACGUGCCUGAUUGCCAAACUUCUUUGUCCCAGAUCAACUAGACCUGGACUCACACUUGCAUCUGCCUGACUGACCUCUUCCGAAGGCUAGCAUGCCCUUUUCUCCAUCACAUUUUGGAAGCUGACAUUUCUUUCCUGUUGGAACCUCUCUAUAUUAGACUGAGUCUCAGAGGAAGCCCCACAGUUUGCCUCUGGACACUAGGGUCUCCACCAUAGUGAAUGCUUGUUGAGAGCCAACAUAGCUGGCCUUCAUCCUCUUUCUCUCCAUUUUUCUGUCAGUUAACCUACCAUCUGGCAGAUAGUAAAUGCUCAAUAAAUGUUGACCGAGUAAAU